CAAGUCGAGCGAGAAUCGUAGCAAUACGAGGACAGCGGCGAAAGGGAGAGGCCUACGUAGAUAUCUGCCCCUGAGACCGGGAUAGCGUCGGGAAACUGGCAGUAAUACCGGAUAACGUCUUUGGACCAAAGGUGUGAUUCCGCUCGGGGAUGAGUCUACGCCCUAUUAGCUAGUUGGUGGGGUAAUGGCCUACCAAGGCGAUGAUGGGUAGCGGGUGUGAGAGCAUGAUCCGCCUCACUGGGACUGAGAACUGCCCAGACACCUACGGGUGGCUGCAGUCGAGAAUCUUUGUCAAUGGACGAAAGUCUGAACAAGCGACGCCGCGUGCGGGAUGAAGGCCUUCGGGUUGUAAACCGCUGUCGUAGGGGAACAAAUGUAGAGGGGUUCUCCCCUUUAUUUGAGUGAUCCUAGGAGGAAGGAGAGGCUAAGCUCGUGCCAGCAGCCGCGGUAAGACGAGCUCUCCAAACGUUAUUCGGAAUCACUGGGCUUAAAGAGUUCGUAGGCGGCUCAGCAGGUCAGGUGUGAAAUCCCACAGCUCAACUGUGGAACUGCGCUUGAAACCGCUGGGCUUGAGGGAGACAGAGGUAAGCGGAACAGAUGGUGGAGCGGUGAAAUGCGUUGAUAUCAUCUGGAACACCGGUGGCGAAAGCGGCUUACUGGGUCUCUUCUGACGCUGAGGAACGAAAGCUAGGGUAGCAAACGGGAUUAGAUACCCCGGUAGUCCUAGCCGUAAACGAUGAGCACUAGUCUGUGGGGACCCUCACAUCCUCUCGGACGUAGCGAAAGUGUUAAGUGCUCCGCCUGGGGAGUAUGGUCGCAAGGCUGAACUCAAGGAAUUGACGG
This 843-nucleotide ribosomal RNA is filed under the name uncultured bacterium. RNAcentral describes it as "bacterial SSU rRNA". It matches the Rfam family "Bacterial small subunit ribosomal RNA", at positions 58 to 916 of the family's 1533-position model. The record is from RNAcentral.